GACGAACGCUGGCGGCGUGCUUAACACAUGCAAGUGGAGCGACGAACCAGGCUUCGGCCUGGGGCAGAGCCGCGAACGGGUGAGUAACACGUGGGUAACCUGCCCUGAUGAUCGGGGACAACCCGGGGAACCCGGGCUAAUACCGAAUGUGCCCGCAAGCUCCAAGGCUUGCGAGGAAAGGAAGCUUCGGCCUCCGCAUCGGGAUGGGCCCGCGGCCCAUUAGCUUGUUGGUGGGGUAACGGCCUACCAAGGCAGCAAUGGGUAGCUGGUCUGAGAGGACGAUCAGCCACACUGGGACUGAGACACGGCCCAGACUCCUACGGGAGGCAGCAGUGGGGAAUCUUGGACAAUGGGCGCAAGCCUGAUCCAGCCAUGCCGCGUGAGUGAAGAAGGCCUUAGGAUUGUAAAAUUCUUUCAGCGGGGACAUAAUGACGGUACCCGCAGAAGAAGCCCCGG
Molecule: ribosomal RNA, 456 nt
Filed under: uncultured bacterium
Lineage: Bacteria
Description: bacterial SSU rRNA
Rfam family: Bacterial small subunit ribosomal RNA
Source: RNAcentral